UGCAACGCAUGGCAUCACAGGCCAUUCGGGUUUCAUCACCUGCCCAUCAGCGAAAGAAAAAAAACAAUGCGGCGAGAGACACGGCUAGAAGAUCUUGGCGGCGCUGCACCAUAAAGAGAUGCAAAGUGAAUCGGACCGGGGCGGCCACACCCCUCCGCACCGGGAACACUGAACUUUUCCACGCCGGCGUUCCCAGAGUAACGUGAACCCGCUGGAGCUGCAGGCUGCCAACACGUUGUGCCACGUGGUGGGUCAAGUUUCUAAAGUACCACGUGUCCCAUGAUUUGUACCACGAAUACAGGCUGCUGUUGAAAAGCUCUGAAGAAAAUUCUCAACUCCUACAUUCAGCCUCCGCAGCGCGAUCAUCCAGGAGCGAGAAACAGAGAUACUCGGGCUGUACCCGGUGCCCAUCGUCUCAGCUCAGCCAGGCCUGUCGGUGGAGCUACGUUCUUUCCGCCACAUCCUCGAGGGACCGCGACUCAUCGAACCCUCGUCUUCGGACGUGCGCCGCGAACCGAGCGACUGGAAAAUAACACGAGGAAAUGUGUACCGUGGUAUAUUGUGGUAUUUCAGGUCAACGGUGACCUGGUCGCAUCACCUGUCUCGCCGGCUGGCGGACUCGCCAAAAGCGGAAAGCGAUGCCUCGCCACCGGGACCGGCGAACAGACCUGCGAGUGGCGCCAGGUUCUGGGAAAACGACGGGACAAAGAGAUCUUCCCUUCCCUCUGAUCCCGUUACUCUGCUCUCACCAUAUUCCAUUACUGUAAUUGUCCUUUCCACUGUCCCCACAAAUAAUAGGAGGACACCUGGGGGGGUGGGGGGGCUGAGAGAUGGGAGGGGGCGCCGCUGCCGCCGCUGUCCUCUCGGGUUACCCGGCCGAUGGGGGACACACCGGGAUCCAGGGGGGUUCUCACACAGUGCGGCCUUUGUGCGCCGCCACCACGGUACAAGGGGGCCGUUAUCCUCGGGUCAACGGCGCCGCCGGACUGGUCCCGCCCCCCUGCCACCGUACCCCCCAGGGGUUUUUCCUCAGGGUGCUGAUCACAGACACACACACACACACUCGCUGAUGCACUUUGUGAAAACACACAUUUUCUCCAGGUCCUCGCCUUGGACACACACACUUGCACACAUUGUCACCGUCACUUAUUGUCAAGAGUGUGUUUUACACUUCUGUCCUCAACUUCCCCUGCAGUUUCAUUCUUCUCACACCACCAGUUUUUCUUACGCAUCGUCAUUCACUGACUCACCUGGAGUGACCUAGGUUUGCACAUUAAAUUAUUCACUAUUUACUCUUUUAAAUAGCUGGGUAAUUUUUACUGCAUCAUUCUAGGGUUGAUCCACAGUACAGCAGCAGGAUGUGGGGUUCAAACCCAGGACCAGUAGAACGAAAGGCAAGGGUUUUAACCGCUUUGACACCUGAUGCUCUGAACCCCGUGGAGAAUAUAUAUGGGGCGGCAUGGUGGCACAGCGCCUGGGUGGUGCGAGAGGACAUGGGUUCGAUCCCCACUUGGUCUCUGUGGAGUUUGCAUGUUUCCCCCCCAUGUCUGUGAGGGGGUGCUCUGGUUUCCUCCCACCCUCCAAAGACAUGCUGUUCAGGUUCCCCCAUAGUAUGUGAGUGACAGAGAGAGUGUGUUCCACUGAUGUCUGCUAAAUAACUAAAUGUAAAUCUGCAACAAUUGGCACAAAACAUGUGUGUAAAAUGGAGAUGUGCCUUUCUGUCCACAAGUUCAGUUCCUUAACCACUCUCUUCCUCCUGGAGUCUGUCUGUGGGCCUCUUAGUGAUGUGCUAACAUGUUGAGGCAGGAGGCACAGUGUGUGCGCUACUUCCUGCAUGGGGGUUAUUUACCGUGCUGGGUGUGGAGGGUAUUAACUGUGUUGCAGGUUCCAGAAAACACACCUGAGUGUGGAGGGCGAGAGCAACGUUGCAACAUCGGCCAUCGUUUCCCGUUCGGGAGCCUUUGGGUUGCAGUGGCGUGACCCAGCCGGAUCAUCGCGGAUUGUUACCCCGACGGCCCUGGAGCCACACCGACACCGCGGGGCGCAUGGGACGCUACGCCGGGCCGGCAGCCUUCCGUGGUCGGACCGCAUUCUUGUCCUGCCACAGUCACCAUAACUCAGCGCGUUCGGAGGCCGAGGAGAGAAGGAUCCGGAACAACCUGCCCGGCAAGAGCUGCAAUUUAUGUGCCGAAGCACAAAGAGGAGGCAAAACCCCGACGGAGAAAGGUGACGUAGAAGAAAACACACACUUCUGUAAACACCUU
Molecule: long non-coding RNA, 2264 nt
Filed under: Scleropages formosus (Asian bonytongue)
Lineage: Eukaryota; Metazoa; Chordata; Actinopteri; Osteoglossiformes; Osteoglossidae
Description: lncRNA (ENSSFOG00015031085.1)
Source: RNAcentral